Molecule: ribosomal RNA, 348 nt
Filed under: uncultured bacterium
Lineage: Bacteria
Description: partial 16S ribosomal RNA
Rfam family: Bacterial small subunit ribosomal RNA
Source: RNAcentral
CCUACGGGAGGCAGCAGUGAGGAAUAUUGGUCAAUGGGCGCGAGCCUGAACCAGCCAAGUAGCGUGAAGGAUGACGGCCCUACGGGUUGUAAACUUCUUUUAUAAAGGAAUAAAGUGAGGCACGUGUGCCUUUUUGUAUGGACGUUAUGAAUAAGGAUCGGCUAACUCCGUGCCAGCAGCCGCGGUAAUACGGAGGAUCCGAGCGUUAUCCGGAUUGAUUGGGGUGAAAGGGAGCGUAGAUGGGUUGGUAAGGCAGUUGUGAAAGGUUGCGGCUCAACCGUAAAAUUGCAAUUGAUACGGGCAGCCUUGAUUACAGUUGCGGUAGGCGGUAUUCGUGGUGUAGCGGUG